RNAcentral lists this ribosomal RNA (468 nucleotides) under uncultured bacterium. RNAcentral describes it as "partial 16S ribosomal RNA". It matches the Rfam family "Bacterial small subunit ribosomal RNA", at positions 28 to 507 of the family's 1533-position model. The record is from RNAcentral.
GACGAACGCUGGCGGCGUGCUUAACACAUGCAAGUCGAACGGAAAGGCCCUGCUUUUGUGGGGUGCUCGAGUGGCGAACGGGUGAGUAACACGUGAGUAACCUGCCCUUGACUUUGGGAUAACUUCAGGAAACUGGGGCUAAUACCGGAUAGGAGCUCCUGCUGCAUGGUGGGGGUUGGAAAGUUUCGGCGGUUGGGGAUGGACUCGCGGCUUAUCAGCUUGUUGUUGGGGUAGUGGCUUACCAAGGCUUUGACGGGUAGCCGGCCUGAGAGGGUGACCGGCCACAUUGGGACUGAGAUGCGGCCCAGACGCCUACGGGAGGAAGCAGUGGGGAAUAUUGCACAAUGGGCGGAGGCCUGAUGCAGCAACGCCGCGUGCGGGAUGACGGCCUUCGGGUUGUAAACCGCUUUCGCCUGUGACGAAGCGUGAGUGACGGUAAUGGGUAAAGAAGCACCGGCUAACUACGUG